UAUAAGACAACUGGGCGUAUAAGACGACCCCCAACUUUUGAAAAGAUUUUCAUGGUUUAGAAAGUCGUCUUAUAUGCCAGAAAAUACGGUAUGUGCAUUCCAAUCCUGACUGCAUACUUCAUGGUGACUACAUUUAGCCUAAUUUUUGGAUUUUUUAAACUUCACUCAUAUCCUUUUUGUACAUCUAGCAUGAAUCUCAAAUAAUUGCUUAGAUGCUUGGUUGCAAGUGCUUAGGAAAUAAUUAUAUAGCUGGUUAACAAAGAACAAAAUAAUCCUACAUAAUACAGAUUUCACUUUUGCUAUCUAGCUAUUCAAUCUUAACUAAGAUUUACUAUCAUAAAUAGAUCUUACAUUGAAAGUACAUGAUUUUGAGGUAAAAUAUGUGAAUAGUACAUUGAGGCUGUAAAAAGGGGACAGCCACUUUGCACAUUAAAAAGUUUUCUUUAUCUGUUUUCUGUUGUCUUAUGGUUGUUCAGAUUUUUGAAGUUACAAUAUCACAGCUUUAGCAGAAUGUUUGUUAUAUCCCAUACAAUGUUUGCAUAUAUUGGUCAACAAACAAUACAAUGCUUCCUAGAGUGCAAAUAAAUCUUACAGAAGAAUCUGACAGAAAUAUACCAUAAAAUAAAUUUUGCAUUCCAUAGAAUGAAACAUGAAGAAUACACAAACUUUGUCCUUAAGGUAUUGUACAAUCCUGUAAACUGCAAUACUAUUGAUAAAAUAGGCCCUGCAUUUUUUUGAUUUGGCAUUUUAAGUUACACAUGCAGUAUUCAAGAAACGAUCAAUUCAAAAAUCACAAAAUAAUGACAAUUUUAAAAAGAUAAAUACCCUUUCACAAUUCUUCAUUACUAUUCUAUAAUUAUCAGUUUCAAUGCUGGUUAUUUCAAUUUUAUUAUAAAACAUAAAAUAUUUGGUUUGGAUGAUAUAAACAUUAAUGUAGUACAUUAAAUUAUUUCUAUAAUAUAUAUGUUCAUAUGUGAAAAAUAGUAUCUUCUUACAAAAAUAAUUUAAAACACUGAAAGCCUAAAAUAGCUUACAAAAUUAUUGUUACUUCCAUGUAACAAUUAUUAUUUAAAACUUAGAACAUAGAGAAUAGCAUUUUUAACCAAUUAAGUCCAAGAUAAUCCUUAAGAUGAGCAAAGUAAGUAAAAAUUAUAUAAAUAUUUAGGAUAAAGAAUAAAGUAAUUCAAAACAUCUGUGAAUCUUGCAGUGAAAUAUUUUCAAUUAUUAAAGCUUUAUUAAAAUGUUAUUUUGCUGGAAAGGUUAUGCACGUAUUCUUUCUGAUUUGGUUUAAUAGCGUGCAUUUAAGCUACUUACAGUUUUAAGUAUGUUACUUUCAAAGUGUUUUAUUGAAUUAUUUUUGGUUUAACUGUUUUUAAGUUUAUUCUGAAUUGCUUUUAUUUGUUUCCUAUUGUGUUUUUUUUAACACUGAAAAACAGGUAAAACUCAUAAAUAAUACCCUUUGAAUACUGUCCCAUUUUCAUUAUAUCCGUCUGCUAAAGCCAUGGAAGUGAAAUUGCUCCCAUUCUUUCUUCAGCCAUUGCUCUUUUUCAAACCUUUGAUUCUGGUUUGACACAUAUUUACAAAUCUCUUAUAAGAGAGGAUGGUGAGCCCUUUGGGAAUUUUGAUCAUAUGUCACAGGCAAUCUCGCAAAAUGGUUGCCAUAGGGAUAAACACAAAACAUCCCUGCACUAGAUGACAAACAGGUGAGAUUUUUAUCCGUUUUCAUGUUGUUCACUAUCACCUAGUUUAGUUCAGUACUUUUUGUUUGUUUGUUUUUCUGAACAGGUAGGCACAUUUCCAAAUGUGUUGCAGUCUUUCAACAUUUCUAUUAUCUAAGAUUUUCUACAUGGCCCAUAUAGGUCCCAGUGGUAUUAUUGUAAAUAAAUGAUGCUGGUGCUUUGCUCUGCAUCAUGCCAGCUUCUUGUUUAUUUAUUUUGAAGAUUCUUUUUUUAAAAAAAAAAUUAAGUGGAGCAGAGAACUUACUCCAUCCUGUGGAAGCUAAUCACAGCCUUUAAUUACACCUUCCUUUAUGCCUUUAGAUUUCUCCUACAGAACAUUUAUUGCCAAUACAAUCAAUCCAAGAUGAUUAUCGCUUCUCCCUUUCAUAUAGGUGUUAUACUACUGUCUUUCUUCCUUUUAUGUCUAUUGGAUGGGGAAGUCUCUAGCUGAAACAAAUAUAAACAUAGGGAAUACACACAUUUCCUUCUGUUCUUUACUAAGCUAACCUAACAAUGAGGAAUACGUAUCAGACUAUGACACAUAUGGGCUAUCUUUUUAAUUGAGAAAACGGUUAGAAAUUGAAAUCUGUAAACAUACUUAAAAUUAAGAAAUCCUCCCAAUGAUGUCAGCACCUGUCAGUUUUUCAACUGUAAGGUAGACAUUUGUUAUGCUUUAUUAGAACUCCUAGGCCUCUCCACAGUGUAACAUCCUGCCCUGCUUUUAGAUAAAACAAACCACCCACUUGGAAACGGUAUUCUCAAGGCAUUUUAAGCAUAGAAUUCUUAGAUUAUAUCAGUUUAAAACUGCAGAAUGUGGAUUUACUGUACCUGAUAGGAUGUUUACCUAUGAUUAUUAAAAUCAUAUUAAUAAAAAUAAUUUCAUGUGCAUAGUAAACUAAAGUACUGUAGUGAAAACUUGAUUAGAACUUUUUUCUCAAUUUUCUAUAUACAGAUACAAAUACACGAGGGAGGGAGGGAGGGAAGGGAGGAAGUGUGUGUUAAAAUAAGAUUUUCUCCAUCUAUCUGGAAUGGUUAGUCUUCCAGUACUGAAAUACUUGGUCUGAUAUAUAAUGUGUAAGUCUGCUUCUUUUAACCCCAUUUAAGGACUUUUAAAACAAGGGACAUAUCACUCCCAACAUAUAUAAUUCUGGUCCUUUUUUUUUUCUUUUUAACAAUAUGUUAUCUGUGAGGGAGAAGUAGACAUCGGAAUUUGAGACCUGUGUCAAAUAGUUCUCCUUGGGAAUAAUGCAUUAAAAGAUCAUAAUUCAUUUGCUUAGCUAUAAUGCUACAGCCCUAUCUAGUUUAAAAUUCAUACCAUUAUCAUAUAACUCUGCAUUUCUAAUCCCAGAUGUUUUGAAUAUUUUUCAUCACAUAUGUAAAAAUCAUGUACUAUAUUAAUACACCAUUUCAUAAUUGACCAACAAUUUUUACUUUGUUAUUUUAAAAUGGAAAUAAAGAGGUUUCUCUCCAGGAUUAUCUUAUAAAAAGUCCAGACAACAAACAUUGCCCAUGGUAUGUUUCCUCUUCCCUUUCUAAAUAUCAUGUUUAAAUAUAUUUUUAAAGCAACCACAUUAACAUAUUAUUCAGAAAGAUAAACUGGCAACAUAUUUGAAGGAAAUGAUCUCCACUGUUUCUUAACUUUGCAUUCAAAAUGAAUUGAUAGCUGUCCAUUUUUGUUUCAUCUACAGUCAUUCAAAAACAGAUAUUUGGCAGAAGGUAAUGUACUGAUCUAGCAAAAUCUCUCAUAUAAAAUUUAAACUAUAUGGUAGUUUAUAAAUCUGAAGUUAACAUAAAUUUUGAGUAUUAUCAACAUUCAUUCAUUAUAUCACUAAUUUGCAACAGUUAAAAAAGAAAAGAGAAUCCAUACAGCAGCAUCCAUGGUGGGCAGGAGAAGAAUGCUAAAGUCAACAUAGUGAUUGCAAUUGCAUGACUGAAGCACUGUCCUUUGUGUGAUGUGUGUGUGUGUGUGUGUGUGUGUGUGCAUGCGUGCAUGUGUGCAAUGUUGAUGCACAUACAAAAUGGGUGGACUUUGAUCCUAGUGUCACAAUUGUCAUCCUUAUUUUUAUCAUCCACCCCCCAGAAAGAACCAAAUUCAAAAGCUCAAUCAGUGAACAUCAUGUUAUCUUAUUUUUCUCUAUCACUGAAUUCUUAUUCUGUUAUCAUACCAAAUGCAUAUCCCUUAAUUCAGGAACCAAAGUUCAAGAAUACUCUUGGUUAAUGGAAAGAGAACAAGGGGAAUAAGGAAAUAUGCGAGCAGACUUAAUAGGCUUAUAUCCAAGAAUAAGUAUAAAUCCUGUUAAAUUGUAAUGAACAUCAUGUCUAAGAAUAUAUGUAUGCUUGUAUGUUUGUGUAUGUAUGUGUAUACAGAUGAUAGAUAGAUAGAUAGAUAGAAAGAUAGAUAGAUAAUUUGCUCUCUGAUAUAGUCAAACCUCAAUAGCAAUGGCAGUCAUUUCAUUAAAAUAGUUAAUAAAAUUGAAACAAUACAAGACUUUAUAAUAUAUACUCAAAUAGUAUUUUAGUAAAUUCAAUGUGAAUAAACUAAACAAUAAAGUGUCCAAUUCACAGAAAUUGAGAUUUUCUAUAAAACAUUUUAAUUUGGCAUCUUCAAAAAUAUAGAUCAUCAACUUCUAAUUUUAAACAUCCUCCAACCCCUACAAUCUGUACUGGAGAAAGGCUAUGAAUUUAUGCUGGUAUAAAUUACAGUUUAGCUCUUCUCUAAACUAGAUGUUUGCACUGAUCCAAAUAAGGUAUUGGACUCCUGGAUAAAAUCCCUAGAGCAGGAAAUAUUCCACAGAAACAUUACCAUUCACAUCUUGCCACCUCAGACAGGAAUUUUACCAGAAAGUUGUGUUUCCAUUCUCUUUAUACAAUCAGCAUAAAACUUCCGUUAUAAAUAUUUUCUUCCCAUCCACUUUUUACAUUUGGUCAAGGAUUUCCCAAGCAUAAAUGGAAGACCUUCUCCAAAAGCCUGCCUGAGUCAUCUUUCUCUUGCAAAAUAGAAGAUCAAAAUACAAAGAAAAAGCUAGCCUUCAUUCCCUGCCCCCUACAAUUGCGGUACCUCACAGCCACUUCAGUAUGAACCCUUAAAUACUCACAUGCUAUCUAUUUGAAAAAUAACACCUACAUAAAUCAGUAAUAUUUUUUCCACUGGGGUUCACAAAUAAUGAACAAAGUCCUCCAUGUAAAAAAGCCAAACAAAGGGUAUGCAUAUAGCAUGCCUAUGGCAUUCCCUAUGUGAAAUUGCACAAAAUGUUUUAAUGCACACUUUGAGGAGCAACCUCCUUUAGAACUAGAUCUAAAGCCACUGAGCAAAACUUAUUUGUCACAGACAUAUGGAUAGCUGAAUUAUCACUGCCAUUCCUGACCAGCAGUUGCUCAUAGAUAAUUGUCUAUAAAAAGCAGUAUGCUGUAAAAAGAGCUGAAUGCAUUGCUACUGACGCUAUGGUGAAUGCCAACUUCCAUUUCUGAGUUGAAUUGCUAGUAAUGGCCCAAGGAUUGCUAUGAUAAUGACAGCUAGUUAGUUAUACACAAUGCCAAUGUAUCUUAUAGAAUGGAAGUUUCCAAAAGGGAAACUUCCCACCAUUGUGCAGCAGGUCUUUAAUGGAAACCUGGCAUACUGUACACUGGUAUAUCAAGUUUUUCCAGGCAUGAAGAGAUAGGAAAAACUCCUUGUUCUUAUCCUUUCCUUUACAUGCCUCUAUUAAAGGCACAGGAGACAGAAAUUACACACACACACACACACACACACACACACAUUCCUAGGUCCAACCAGCACAUGCAACAUAUAAAUAGACAAAUGCUAGGACAUUUCAAAACUUAAUUAUCACAGCAUUGAAUUUGUAUCAAGUUCAAGAUGUUACAGGAUCAUACAUUGGAUUUAGAUUUAUAUCAAGGAACAUUCUCCUUGAUAUCCAACCAAGUUUGGGUCCUUUUACCUGGCUUGAAACAAUCAGGGAAAUAAGCCAUGAGCUGCACAGAAUUCACACUGAGAAAAGUAUUAGUAAAUAUAGGAUGUAAAUGUCUGAAUAAUUCAUUAACACCACUCACAUUAUAUUACAUGCGAAGCUAAAAAAAAACAACGGCCAGUUAGGAUGCUGCCCUACUUCUACACCAUUGCUAUCACUUCACAAUAAGCCUAACAGAUUAUUAAUAAUGUACACCUAGUCAGGCUUGCUUAUACAGUCAUGAUUAAGAAUGCUUUUUUUUUUAGAUAUUAGCCAUUACUUUACUUCAGACCCAUUGCUAUCACAAAUGUAAAUGGUUUGAAUCAACUCUGUCCUAUCUCUCUAGAAUUAGGGCCAAACUCAGCAGUUGUGCCAGUAAAUAUCCUCAACUUUCAUCCUCUUUGGUGGUAGUGUUACCUUAUCCCUUUAGUUACUGCAGUUAUUAACAAAAGAUAGGAAUACAUCAGGUGGUACAAAGAAAGGCAGGGCUCCUGUGCCAAUAUGAUACCAUUUCUGAUUCACAUUUGUGCCAUUUCAUCUUUGUGCAAAUCCACUUCUCUCCCUGAUUAUUUACAUUUCUUCUCCAUUUUAGUUUUGGAGGUAUGUUAUCAUUAAUGUGGGGUGAAGACACAUGAACAUUCAGCUGAAAAGCAACACUAGCUUUAUUUUUAAGAAAAGUCACUGACUUUGGGCUCUGGAAAAUACCCUUAACUCUCCCUUAUUGUAUGCUCAAGUGUAUAGUUCACUGCUUCAUAGAGCAUUUUCUUUCUGGGGAAUGUUAUAAUUAGGUACUGAGCUUGUACAUUGGGAGGAGCAUCAGGGCAUAUGUACAGUCAAAUAUACUGAUCUUGAGUUUAAAAAGGGGACCUACAAAGAAAAGAUUGUGGUUCCAGUCCUAACUGAAAGUAUAGACACAAGAGAAAUGGUUCUAGAGGAAAAGGAUAACUGCACUUCUAGAUAUAUCCAUAUUUGUGGCAACAUAAAUAGUUUAACUGACCUAGUUGCAAAAAAAAUCCAAAAAACAGGGAUGGAGGAUGUGAAACUGCACAUAUAUUAUUGUGAUUCAAUCCUAUUGCUUUUGGGUGUAUGUGUGUAUCUAUCUGUCUAACAAACACAAAAUAAUGAUAACAAAUAACUGGAUGACAAACCAAACAAGGCUAGUGCUAUGUGAUAAAGGUACUGCUUAAGCCAGGGGUUUUCAAACUUGGCCCUUUUAUGACUUGUGGACUUCAACUCCCAGAAUUCCUCAGCCAGACCACUGGCUUAAGCCUUUAAGUAGGGGAAAAAUAAUUGUAUGAUUUUUUUAGGUGAAGCUCUCAUAUUAUUUUUACUAGACCUAGUGAAAUAUUUAUGAAAGCAACACAGGAGUGAGUUUACAAUGAGAAGCUGCAUAUUGAUUCUAUGUACAAUGUAUCAACGUAUAAAACAUCAGAUAUUUCAAAGUAGUUCUGGUUACUAGUUUUAUAAGUUGCAUGCCUUCUGCAAACCAACCAUGCACAGAAAUAUGUGUGAACAAUGCUGUAAUUGGUAUUGCCAAAAUCAUGAACAAAUGUAUAGUAAAACAACAUCUCUAUCCAGUUCUGAAUAUGGCUGAUGCCUAGACAACUAACUACUCCAGAACUACACAUAUUUCAUAUUUCAUUAAAUCCCAACAGUGUGAUGACUAGAAUAGAAAUUUAAAUGUGGAAAAGUCAGUCCAAAUCCUUGUUCAUUUCUUGAAGUUUACUUUAAAGUUGGGAGAUUGAUUGGGCAAAUUAUAUUAUUUUUUGAGACUUCAAAUUAAUAUUCUGAGCUCCUUAGAAAAAAGGAGAGAUACAAAUAAAUAAUUUAGGAAUGUCCAGACUUAUGUAUUAGCAAACUUUAUAAAAGUUCCAUCUGAAUUAAAUAAUUAAUAUUUACCCAAUAACUUUCUUUAUAAAGAAAAUGAUUUGAUUCUAUUUAUUUCUAUUUACCAUUUAUUUCAUUUAUUUAAUCAACAUGCAGUUCAGAAGAAGUAUAAAUUUCCAUGUUGUCUCCCCCUAAUGGUUUCACGGUUUAAGACCAUAUGUAAUAAUAUAAUAACGUGGACAAAAAUGCCAAAUCCAGUCUGAACAUCUGGCUGACUAUGUGACAAACCAUGAUAAUAAUAAUUCAUUGUAGGUAUGUAAUUCAAAAUGAAUCUGUAUCUAGCACUUCAAAAAUUUGUACACAGUGAAGAAAAUUACUUCAAGCCUUCUUUACUACACAAUACAAGAAAAUAAAUAGGUCAAAAAUAAUACAUUUGGUUUUCUACAAGAUAUAAAAAUACCCUUGGUUUCUGAUCAUGCUGGAUUCUUUUACUUCAGACCUAUGGAAUCUUCAUACUUUUUUGCUUUGAAAACUAUAUCACCAAUAGAAAUCAAUUUAUUUUCACACCCUUAGGGUGAUCAUCUAGUACUACCAUCAUACAUUUAAUUAUUCCCUGUCCUGUUUUACAGCAGUCCUUGAACAGUACUCAAGUACUCCUUGAACAAUACACCUGUGUCUUGCUUCUUAAAUAUGGUGUGUUACUAAAAGCACAUUGUUUUCACUCCCUAUAAGUAGUAGGAGUCCCUUCACAAGUAAAGGUGCUGACUUCAAUUUUUAAAACACAGAAUGUCUCAUGAUUUCUAUAAUGAAGGAUUAAUCAUUUCUGUUUGAUAUUUUCUCUAGCAACUUUUAAUUUCAGCUGAUCAUGGAGGAAUAUGCUCAGUGGCUAUGCCCCACUUUGAAAACGCUAUAAAUGGCUUAGAAGCAAGAUAGACUUUUUAUCAAAAAGAACAUACACCCAGCUUUUUGAUAGUAUAUGUGUGUUAGAUUAUAACUGUCAUUUAUUUCUACGUAUAAUUUCCUGGUAUAUUACAGAAAUGUAGAUGUAGAAAUGUAGAUGACAUAAACUGCUGUCAGUACAAAGUCAACUGCCCUCAUACUGGCAAUUCUGUUCAGAAAAACAUUAAAACCUUUGACAGUGACUUCUUUUCUCUUCUGUUUCUAACUUCUGUUAACAGUACAAUAGAAGCUCAGGCAAUAAAACUUAUAUCUUUGAGAUACAAUAUUAUUUUAGACUAAUCAGAGUGGAUUUUUAUGACUCGUGCUAAAUGAUGCAUUAAUUUUGAAAUGUCUGUUUAGUAACAUUACAGACAACAGCCUCAUUCUUGAUAUUUGUUUCUUUGUUUACCUUUGAAACAAGUUUAAGAAAGCUAUGAUUUUAAUAGAAAUGCCCAAUUAAAAAAAUAAAUUAUAUUAAGAAAGUAAUAUACAUGGGCAUUUUGCAUGUCACACAUUUGUUGCUAGUUAUUUUUUUCUACAACAACUUCCUAAUAGUUCUGUUCUGCACUCAAAUGUAUCAGAGAAAAAAUAACAUUGUACAAAUUUCUUCAUAUAAAUUUAAAAUUGAAUUAUGAUUGUGAUCAUUUACUUGAUAGUAUAUAAAGAUAGAAAAUCAAGUAUAAUAAUUAGUUAACACAAUAAAUGGAGAUCCAUAAAAGUACAAAAUAAAAAGACACCAAAAAGCCUAAUUCAUACUAAUGCUUCCCAAUUGUGAUUGCUGCUAAAGAGCCAUUGGCUAUUUUCAUGAAUAUGUCAAUGGACAAUCCACUAAUAAACAUUGCACUGCAUACAUACCACAUACGCGCGUACACACACACACACACACACACAGGGAGGGAGGGGAGGAGGGAAAACUGAAAGAAUAGCAGAAUGUAACACCAGGUGCUACAUUAGUACAAAUAUAUCCUAGAUCUAUGAAAAUCUUCUCAACAGAUGUUUCACUUGCAAGUGGUGGCCCUCUGAAUCAAAAGCUUCUUCAAAACCUAUGUCACUAUAGUCACUUGAAGAUUGAGUUUUUCUGGUCAACUUGUUUGCAAAAGUCUAAUACAUAUAUAAUUAUAAAAUGCAUGUCUUAUGCAUCCUUUUGCUGUUAAGAGCUACUAAUUUAACUAACACAAGUUAAAAGAGUUAGAUAUUCAUGCUCUAAACCAUAUUUUAAUGUAUUAUAGUUUUUAUUUUAUGUAGUCAUCAAUAUUCAAAUACAUCAUGCUAAAAACAAAAAAUGGCUACAGCAGGAUAUUCUCUUGCAAUCUUAAUUUCAUUUUUUAAAACCACUUUAACAGAAAGAGUCAUAUUAUGAAGGCUCCAUCAAAUAAAAGAUGGCCUUUUAUACCCUGAUCUGGAGGAUAAAGCAUUGUACCCAACACUACUCAAGCUAUUUUUUUCUCAAAAAUAGGACAAUUAAAAACAUUAAAAUAUACAAACGCUAUUAUGUGAAUGUACCUAAAUAAAAGGCAUUUUAAUCAAAACACUGAUUUUAAUUGUGCUUCCUCUUGAGUAUAUCUGUUUCCAAUUGGAACCUUAUUGAACACUGUAUGAAAAGCAUAAAGGAAUGAAUAACGUUCUGGAUCUUGACUUCAUAAACAUAUCUUUACAAAACCAAGAUAAAUAAAAUAGCUACCAAACAACCAACAAACAAGAUUUGACAUGUUGAGUCUGAAGAAGCUGAUACAGAUCUAACAUGUCAAAAAUUCACACUACACACUAACAGAUGCCAGACCCUUAACUAGACAUGAUAGAUCAUAAUGAGAUUUUCCAGUGAUCUCCACUAAAUUAACAAAAGCAGCCUCAAUGUAUUGCAAGAGUUCUAGUUUCACCUACAUUCUCUGCAUUAAACUAUUUCCUUCUACAUAGAAGGGCACACAUUUCAAACCUCAGGACCAUGCAUCAGCUCUAAAUUAAGUAACAAGAGCAGGAGAAACACAAGGAGCUAGAUGUGGGAGCAUACAGAAGACAAAAGGCAUAUUAUUUCAUUCCUGACAGUCAACUCAAUAUGCCUCCUCAGGAGCCAGUUCUAUUGAGUUCAAUGGAAUUUACUCCCAGCUCACCCAGUGGCACCUGAAAGCUGAGCUGAAGCAACUUACAAUGAAGACUCCCUGGGCACUGGUUGAAAGGAUAAGAAUUACCUAUGAAAUGAACACCCUCUUCUAUGAUUUACGGACCACUUUGUUCUGUUUAGUCUGAGACUGUAUAUACACAUAUACAUUUUCCUACCAACAACAAGGAACACCUUGAUGUUCUUAAAUGAUUAUUUAUUCUGAUAAACAUUUUAAGAACUAUGUAGCUAUUUAACUGAUUUGUUAGCAAUACAAAGCUGAGUACUUGCAGAGAAAAAAGUGGCACCCAACUCCAUUAAACUUAACACCCAAUUAAAUAUACAUUUAUUUACAUUCACAAAUUCAACCUCCAGUUCCUAUAAAACAGCUUGUUAAUUAUAAUAAAUCAGUUUGUCUCCUGAAGGUAUAUCAAAUGUAGUGAUAAUCUGUAUAAACUACAAUUCUGACACGCUAAAAACUGUAGUUAAUUCUGGGAAAGAAACUAUUAUCAUCUAUCUGAACAUCCUUCUAGGAUGAAGGCUUAUAUAGAAAUAUUGUUUAAUACUUAGAAGUGAUUAUUUAAAUUAUAAUACAUGGAGUAGCAAUAAAUUAUAACUUUAUCCUUAAAAGGACUUAUCCUUCUAUGAGGAUAAGAAGAAUUUUACAGUGCUCAAAAAAAAAAA
This is a long non-coding RNA of Crotalus tigris (Tiger rattlesnake), 11207 nucleotides long. RefSeq lists it as uncharacterized. The transcript has 2 exons. The record is from RefSeq and is a predicted model, not a curated record. NCBI's taxonomy places the organism in Eukaryota, Metazoa, Chordata, Lepidosauria, Squamata, Viperidae.